Molecule: long non-coding RNA, 355 nt
Filed under: Mytilus galloprovincialis (Mediterranean mussel)
Lineage: Eukaryota; Metazoa; Mollusca; Bivalvia; Mytilida; Mytilidae
Source: RNAcentral
GGGGUGUUUAGACCAUGUUAUGUUGAUAGUUUAUAUUUAAAUAUGUAGGACCCUUCUUCUUUUGUUAUUAAGAUAAUGAUAAAAAAGACUAAAAACAGCAUCAUUAUAAUACAGAGAUAAUUUUGACAGACACUUUAGUACGCUAACAUGGAAAGUUUGGCCAAAUACUGAUAUCUAUGUUUCUUGCAAUGAUGUCAAUACACACUUAGGAUGAAAAUGUAUGUUUGAAAACAUCCCCAAAAAAUACAUGAAAGACAAGUAAAUCACUUUAUAUGUUACAUUACACAUAUUGCAUACAACAUUUAUAUUCACAGACACUGCAUAUUUCCAUCACAUAAAACAUGCUUUAUAACAC